CCCCACUGCUAUCGGGGUGGGACUAAAACAUGCAAGUCGAGCGCCUCCAAGCUAUGGUGAAGGCGCGGCAAACGGCUCAGUAACACGUGGCCAACCUACCCUUGGGACGGAGACAACCCCGGGAAACUGGGGCUAAUCCCCGAUAAGUAAGGAAUCCUGGAAUGGAUCUUUGCUGAAAGGGCGUCUAGACCAUGCUUCUUGACGUCGCCCAAGGAUGGAGCCGCGGCCGAUCAGGUAGUUGGCGAGGCAACGGCUCACCAAGCCUAUAACCGGUACGGGCCGUGAGAGCGGGAGCCCGGAGAUGGGCACUGAGACAAGGGCCCAGGCCCUACGGGGCGCAGCAGUUGCGAAAACUCCGCAAUGCGCGAAAGCGUGACGGGGCUACCCCGAGUGCCGCCCGUUGAGGGCGGCUUUUCCAUGGUGUAAGGAGCCGUGGGAAUAAGGAGAGGGCAAGACUGGUGUCAGCCGCCGCGGUAAUACCAGCUCUCUGAGUGGUGGGGACGAUUAUUGGGCUUAAAGCGUUCGUAGCCGGCUUAACAAGUCUUCCGUUAAAUCCAACGAUCUAAUCGUUGGGCUGCGGGAGAUACUGUUGGGCUAGGAGGCGGGAGAAGCCGACGGUAUCCUCGGGGUAGGGGUGAAA
RNAcentral lists this ribosomal RNA (640 nucleotides) under uncultured archaeon. RNAcentral describes it as "bacterial SSU rRNA". It matches the Rfam family "Archaeal small subunit ribosomal RNA", at positions 21 to 637 of the family's 1478-position model. The record is from RNAcentral.